RNAcentral lists this ribosomal RNA (511 nucleotides) under uncultured bacterium. RNAcentral's name for it is "bacterial SSU rRNA". It matches the Rfam family "Bacterial small subunit ribosomal RNA", at positions 18 to 518 of the family's 1533-position model. The record is from RNAcentral.
CCUGGCUAGGACGAACGCUGGCGGCGUGCUUAACACAUGCAAGUCGAACGGGGCGAUAGAAAGCUUGCUUUUAAAGCCUAGUGGCAAACGGGUGAGUAACGCGUGGGCAACCUGCCGGAAAGAUGGGGACAACAUCCCGAAAGGGGUGCUAAUACCGAAUGUUGUACGAGGGACGCAUGUUCCAUGUACUAAAGGAUCCUAUCCGCUUUCCGAUGGGCCCGCGUCCGAUUAGCUGGUUGGUGAGAUAACGGCCCACCAAGGCGACGAUCGGUAGCCCGGCCUGAGAGGGUGAACGGCCACAUUGGGACUGAGACACGGCCCAGACUCCUACGGGAGGCAGCAGUGGGGAAUCUUCCGCAAUGGGCGAAAGCCUGACGGAGCAACGCCGCGUGAGUGAAGAAGGCCUUCGGGACCGUAAAGCUCUGUUGGCCGGGGAAGAGUGCUAUGGGGGAACCUGUAGAGGGACGGUACCCGGCGAGGAAGCCGCGGCUAACUACGUGCCAGCAGCAGC